Molecule: ribosomal RNA, 413 nt
Filed under: uncultured microorganism
Description: bacterial SSU rRNA
Rfam family: Archaeal small subunit ribosomal RNA
Source: RNAcentral
GUGCAGCAGGCGAGAAACCUUCGCAAUGCGGGAAACCGCGACGAGGGGACUCCCAGUGCCUACGCUCAGCGUAGGCUGUUCCCGAGCCUAGAAAGCUCGGGGGGUAAGGGCUGGGUAAGACGGGUGCCAGCCGCCGCGGUAAUACCCGCAGCCCGAGUGGUGGCCACUAUUAUUGGGCCUAAAGCGUCCGUAGCCGGCCCGGUAAAUGCCUGGGUAAAUCGUGAGGCCUAACCUCACGAAUUCCGGGUAGACUGCCGGGCUAGGGACCGGAGGAGGGAGAGGGUACUCCAGGGGUAGGGGUGAAAUCCUGUAAUCCCUGGAGGACCACCGGUGGCGAAGGCGCUCUCCUAGGACGGGUCCGACGGUGAGGGACGAAAGCCAGGGGAGCGAACCGGAUUAGAUACCCCUGUAGU